UUUAUUGAGAGUUUGAUCCUGGCUCAGGACGAACGCUGGCGGCGUGCUUAACACAUGCAAGUCGAACGAGAAUCUGUGGAUCGAGGAUUCGU
Molecule: ribosomal RNA, 92 nt
Filed under: Bacillota bacterium
Lineage: Bacteria; Bacillati; Bacillota
Description: partial 16S ribosomal RNA
Rfam family: Bacterial small subunit ribosomal RNA
Source: RNAcentral